CCUACGGGAGGCAGCAGUGAGGAAUAUUGCGCAAUGGGCGUAAGCCUGAACCAGCCAAGUCGCGUGAGGGAUGAAGGUUCUAUGGAUCGUAAACCUCUUUUAUAAGGGAAUAAAGUGCGGGACGUGAUCCGUUGUGUAUGUACCUUAUGAACAAGGAUCGGCUAACUCCGUGCCAGCAGCCGCGGUAAGACGGAGGAUCCGAGCGUUAUCCUGAUUUAUUGGGUUUAAAGUGUGCGUAGGCGGCAUGUUAAGUCAGCGGUGAAAGGCUGUGGCUCAACCAUAGAAUUGCCGUUGAAACUGGGAGGCUUGAGUAUGUUUGAGGAAGGCGGAAUGCGUGGUGUAGGGGUGAAAUGCUUAGAUAUCACGCAGAACCCCGAUUGCGAAGGCAGCCAGCCAGGCCAUGACUGACGCUGAUGAACGAAAGCGUGGGGAUCAAACAGGAUUAGAUACCCGUGUAGUC
This 460-nucleotide ribosomal RNA is filed under the name uncultured bacterium. Its description in RNAcentral is "partial 16S ribosomal RNA". It matches the Rfam family "Bacterial small subunit ribosomal RNA", at positions 338 to 795 of the family's 1533-position model. The record is from RNAcentral.